Molecule: long non-coding RNA, 416 nt
Filed under: Gallus gallus (chicken)
Lineage: Eukaryota; Metazoa; Chordata; Aves; Galliformes; Phasianidae
Source: RNAcentral
UUUUUUUAAACUUUACAAAUGUAAGAGUACCAGUUACAUAUAAAAGGUUACCAGAUGAGAUCAAAGGUCUAGCUUACUGAAUAACUGCUCAGUCUGUGAAGGGUUUCAAGAGUGAAUAACAUUAAAUAAAGUACUAAACAGCAUUUCCAGUAAUUCCUUGUGGAUUUUUCUUCCAUCAAUUUGUCUGAUUAAUACCGUGUGAAGAAUCACUUUCCAAAGUGAGUCUGAACCUUAUCCAACAGAAGCUGUGGGGGUUGUGAGCUACAGCCUGCAGCUGGCAGCAUUUAUAGCUUAGAUAUCUCCCAAAAGUUGUUUGUCUCAUGUCAAGGCGUAACAGAAUGCAGAAGUGACUGAUGAGGGUCCAGAGGGGAAGCCGUCUAAAAACUGAUAGCUGAGUGAUAUAGUAUGGGUGUAGU